ACUCUCCAUAAUUAUUUGAAUAAUUGUUCUAUAAUCGAUCUCUCAUUUGGUUUUCUAAAUUUGUAGUUAGAAAGGUUUCACCAAAAUGGGGAAUGAAAAGAACUCCGAGUCUUCCUCAUCCAUGCCUAAUCUUACCUGGGGAACAAAUGAAAAAUGGCUGAAAUGGCAUGUUUUGGAACUAGGCUCUGGUCCAGGACCAAUAUCAGAAUCUGUAAGGAUUCAUGAUGUGUUCUUAAGUUUCAGGGGAGUGGAUACUCGUUCUACGUUCGUUUCACAUCUAUAUACAGCUCUUCGAAAUGCUGGAAUUAAAGUUUUUCAAGACGAUAGUGGGCUUCAAAGAGGAGAUUACAUUUCAACAUCAUUAUUCCGUGCAAUUGAAGAGUCUCAAAUUUCUUUAAUUGUUUUCUCAAAAAACUAUGCCAAUUCAAAAUGGUGUUUGGAUGAAUUGGAAAAAAUAAUGAAGUGUUACAGAACCAUAGGACAAAAGGUUGUGUCUGUGUUCUACCAUUUAGAACCAUCUGAAGUGCGCCAUCAGACAGGAGAGUUUGGAAUAUCUUUUCGUAGUCUUUUGUAUGAACUGCUUCCGCAGACAAGUAUGUUUCGAAGCUAUAAUAUAAGAUUUUUGACCACUAAAAUUUGGAACAAGAAGAAAUUUACGCAAGAUUGGAAAGAGGCUCUUCGUCAGGAAGCUAGCAUUGCAGGGUUUGAAAUACUCAAGUCACGGAAUGAAAGUGAGUAUAUCAACGCUAUUGUUGACCGGAUUUCAGACUUGUUGAAUAAGACAGACUUGUUU
RNAcentral lists this long non-coding RNA (793 nucleotides) under Medicago truncatula (barrel medic). RNAcentral describes it as "lncRNA gene9888". The record is from RNAcentral. Lineage: Eukaryota; Viridiplantae; Streptophyta; Magnoliopsida; Fabales; Fabaceae.